Molecule: ribosomal RNA, 502 nt
Filed under: uncultured Glomeromycotina
Lineage: Eukaryota; Fungi; Glomeromycota
Description: partial small subunit ribosomal RNA
Rfam family: Eukaryotic small subunit ribosomal RNA
Source: RNAcentral
CCAAUAGCGUAUAUUAAAGUUGUUGCAGUUAAAAAGCUCGUAGUUGAACUUCGGGGUCUACCCAUUGGUCAGGCUUAAUUGUCUGCACUGGUGAGAUGGAUCUCUACCUUCUGAGGAACUUUCAUGCCAUUUAUUUGGUGUGAUAGGAAAUCAGGACUGUUACUUUGAAAAAAUUAGAGUGUUUAAAGCAGACUAUCGUCUGAAUACAUUAGCAUGGAAUAAUGAAAUAGGACGGACUGAUUCUAUUUCGUUGGUUUCUAGGAUCACCGUAAUGAUUAAUAGGGAUAGUUGGGGGCAUUAGUAUUCAAUUGUCAGAGGUGAAAUUCUUGGAUUUAUUGAAGACUAACUACUGCGAAAGCAUUUGCCAAGGAUGUUUUCAUUAAUCAAGAACGAAAGUUAGGGGAUCGAAGACGAUCAGAUACCGUCGUAGUCUUAACCAUAAACUAUGCCGACUAGGGAUCGGACGAAGUUAAUUUUAUAAUGACGCGUUCGGCACCUUACG